GGCGACAUAGCCAAGCGGUAAGGCACGGGUCUGCAAAACCCUUAUCCCCCGGUUCAAAUCCGGGUGUCGCCUCCA
This 75-nucleotide transfer RNA is filed under the name Eubacteriales Family XIII. Incertae Sedis bacterium. Its description in RNAcentral is "tRNA-Cys". It matches the Rfam family "tRNA". From Rfam's summary of the family: Transfer RNA (tRNA) molecules are approximately 80 nucleotides in length. Their secondary structure includes four short double-helical elements and three loops (D, anti-codon, and T loops). Lineage: Bacteria; Bacillati; Bacillota; Clostridia; Peptostreptococcales; Anaerovoracaceae. The record is from RNAcentral.